CCCAGCAAUCAGAGCCUCCAGGCCCAGGAGGAUGAAAAGAACAUGGAGACGAGAGGCUCCAAAUGGAGUAGCCCUCUGCCAGCUCACAUCCCUCUUUCAGGGGCUGCAGCUUGGACAUCCCAAGACUGGCCAGGUUACAGCCCACAGGAGGCGAGGAGUGCUCCCCUUUACCUCAGGAAGUCCGAUGUCCGCCCCAGCUGUCUUCUGCCCCAGGGAAAGCAGUGAAGGAGGAGACUGCAAGCAUCGGGAUGCCCAGGCCCCAAGGAGGCCCUCUUCCUGCAGAUCCGAGAAGGACUGGACACCUUUCUGGGACUGCAGCACCAGGGUGGCUACGCCUCCCGGCUGGAUCAGGAUUCCUGUCAUCCAUCUGCUGGCCCUUUGGACCACUCGGCCACUGGCAUGCUUUCCAAGUCUGUACCC
This 420-nucleotide long non-coding RNA is filed under the name Homo sapiens (human). RNAcentral describes it as "non-protein coding lnc-ARHGEF2-1:8". Lineage: Eukaryota; Metazoa; Chordata; Mammalia; Primates; Hominidae. The record is from RNAcentral.